UACGAAGGGGGCUAGCGUUGUCCGGAAUUACUGGGCGUAAAGCGCACGUAGGCGGACAUUUAAGUUGGAGGUGAAAGCCUUGGGCUCAACCCAAGAAUUGCCUUUGAUACUGGAUGUCUCGAGACCGGGAGAGGUGAGUGGAAUUCCGAGUGUAGAGGUGAAAUUCGUAGAUAUUCGGAAGAACACCAGUGGCGAAGGCGGCUCACUGGCCCGGUUCUGACGCUGAGGUGCGAAAGCGUGGGGAGCAAACAGG
Molecule: ribosomal RNA, 253 nt
Filed under: uncultured bacterium
Lineage: Bacteria
Description: partial 16S ribosomal RNA
Rfam family: Bacterial small subunit ribosomal RNA
Source: RNAcentral